Molecule: small nucleolar RNA, 138 nt
Organism: Tachyglossus aculeatus (Australian echidna)
Lineage: Eukaryota; Metazoa; Chordata; Mammalia; Monotremata; Tachyglossidae
Source: RefSeq, a predicted model, not a curated record
UGCCUCUCAGGAUUGCACCUGGGGAGUUUCCAAUACUCUACCAGUCUUGGCUACAGGAGGGAGAGUCAAGCAGAGGCCUAGCCAUUCCAUUCCUAGCUUGGGAAAUGGCUAGCGAGUGGUAGGCAAUCUGCUAAAAGU